Molecule: ribosomal RNA, 445 nt
Filed under: Flavobacterium sp. 01WB01.1-35
Lineage: Bacteria; Pseudomonadati; Bacteroidota; Flavobacteriia; Flavobacteriales; Flavobacteriaceae
Description: bacterial SSU rRNA
Rfam family: Bacterial small subunit ribosomal RNA
Source: RNAcentral
UGAGCUUGAUCCUGGCUCAGGAUGAACGCUAGCGGCAGGCUUUAACACAUGCAAGUCGAGGGGUAGAAGUCUUCGGACUUUGAGACCGGCGCACGGGUGCGUAACGCGUAUGCAAUCUACCUUUUACAGAGGGAUAGCCCAGAGAAAUUUGGAUUAAUACCUCAUAGUAUAAUGACUCGGCAUCGAGAUAUUAUUAAAGUCACAACGGUAAAAGAUGAGCAUGCGUCCCAUUAGCUAGUUGGUAAGGUAACGGCUUACCAAGGCUCCGAUGGGUAGGGGUCCUGAGAGGGAGAUCCCCCACACUGGUACUGAGACACGGACCAGACUCCUACGGGAGGCAGCAGUGAGGAAUAUUGGACAAUGGGCGCAAGCCUGAUCCAGCCAUGCCGCGUGCAGGAUGACGGUCCUAUGGAUUGUAAACUGCUUUUAUACGAGAAGAAACACU